Molecule: ribosomal RNA, 433 nt
Filed under: uncultured bacterium
Lineage: Bacteria
Description: partial 16S ribosomal RNA
Rfam family: Bacterial small subunit ribosomal RNA
Source: RNAcentral
AACGAACGCUGGCGGCAUGCCUAACACAUGCAAGUCGAACGAGAACUUCGGGUUUGGUGGCUACUGGGUGCGUAACGGGUGGGAACCUGCCUUUAUGUUCUGCAUAACUCCCCGAAAGGGGUGCUAAUACCGGGUAAUGUCUCCGGACCAAAGAUUUAUCGCCUUUGGAUGGGGCCGCGUUGGAUUAGCGAGGUGGUAGGGUAAAAGCAAACCAAGGCGACGAUCCAUAGUUGGUCUGAGAGGCGGCUCAGGCACACUGGGACUGAGACAAGGCCCAGACUCCUACGAGAGGCAGCAAUGGGUAAUAAUGGGCCAUGGGCGAAAGGCUGAUCCAGCAAUGCCGCGUGAGUGAUGAAGGCCUUAGGGUUGUAAAGCUCUUUUAACCGGGAUGAUAAUGACAGUACCUGGAGAAUAAGCUCCGGCUAACUCCGUG